Molecule: long non-coding RNA, 2137 nt
Filed under: Gossypium barbadense (sea-island cotton)
Lineage: Eukaryota; Viridiplantae; Streptophyta; Magnoliopsida; Malvales; Malvaceae
Description: long non-coding RNA (GBAR_LNC020564)
Source: RNAcentral
UUAUAUUGCUGCGUAACUCCAAAGUUUUGAAAGGAAGGCCAGCCGCCCUAAGACGCACCACUAGAGAACGGUGCCGGACUGUGUCCCGUCAGUCCACCAUACUACCCAAGCCCACCAAAACCAGUAUACCGACCACUGCGCAUCUCCGAUCCAGUAUGAGCAAACGAGAAUCGCGCCACCGUCGGAGCAGUUAGACCAUCAUACUCACGGUUGAACCGGUAGAAGCACCGUUACGCUAGAUGGCCAUAAUAACCGUAAAUUUGGCACUGUAUACGAGGACGAAAGCCACGCCCGCGCAAACGACCACCGCGCACAUCACUCAAACUAGAGUCAGUCUCUAGAGGACUUUCGACCAGAUUGACAUAGAUCAGUAUGUCAGGCACCGUCUGUGUUUGGUGGCUUUCGAUCUCUAACAGCACGUUGACAAGCUUUUGGAACGGAAGAGCCUCCGGUGAGAAUGAUACCGGGGUUACCAUAGCAUCAAACUCUGAUGGUAUACCGGCAACAAAUAAAUUCUACUUUUUUGGUCUCCGAAACACUAGAUCUAGAGGCCUAAAGCAGAGCACAGAGAUUCUGAAUGUUGGCAAGGUAUUCUUUAAUAGAGAGCUCACAUUUUUUUACGGAUACAAUUCAUGCCUAACACGAGACACCUUAGCACCAAUAGAUGCCACAAACAGUCGAUUCACAGUGUUCCAGACAUCGCAAGCUGACUUCGCGGUUGUAAAGCAAGACAACAAAGACGCACUGGUCGUAGAAAGCAACUAGGAGGUAAGGAGCUUGUCUUGUUGAACAAACACGGAAUCUUUUGGAUUUGGAGUUAAAGCACCAUCCGGAGACGCACAAACCUAGGCGGUAAAGGUAACGUGCCGUCUAAAAAGCCUAACAACUCAUAUCCUUCAACAAUUAGACGCACAUUGCUGUCAUUGAAUAAAAAUUUUCUCAUCUAAUUUUACUGUGUCAUGGCGAGGAAAACACUAAAUCAAACGUAAGCUGGAAAACGUCGGACUAGAGUGAUCAACGGAAGUGGAGUCUGUCGAAUUAGCCAUGGAUUAGCAAAGAAAACAAGCACCAUGACCUCAGGCGACUGAUACCAUAUUAGGUACCAUAUUCUUGAAUAAGAACAGAGAACAAAUUGAAAAAAUGUGAAUUACUAAAGAAACUUGCUUAGUAUAUUAUUUUGUAGUGAUUUCUACAAUGCUAGUGUUUUUAUAUUUGAUUUUUGAGUAACUGCUAUUAACAAACUAUAUCAGACUAAGUAACAGAAUGAUAAUAGACUAACAAUAUCUGUUACACUUGGGAUGGUGGUUCUUUGUUGUUGUCCCAACGAAACAUUAGAUGAAUGCGACAUUCAUUCAAAAAGUGGUCCCCCCAUCUACAUAAUUGCUUUGUGAGCUCUCACCAUGGCCAAUAGUUGUGUGCGAGUCCAGUUAAACCUCCAAGUUUUAUUGAUUGUCUUUCUCCAGGAGUUUCCGAACCAAACAAGGUGUUGUGGCGUUGUUUGGAGUUGGCCGAAUUUCCCCAAAACAACAUAGGGUACACCAUUUCAACACACAUGUGAUUGAUAGCAACAAGUUGCAAUUUAGGGCAAAGUAUCUUUUGUCAUGCAUGUGCCCUGAGAGGUCAUACGAUUAUAGCAAUCCUCGAAGCCAAAGCUCAAAGAAAGAAACAUAAAACAGGAUUUAUAUGCUGCCUCAAUUUUCGUCAUAUAUGUUUUAAUUUUUUAUGUCUGUUUUACGGUUCAUGUUUGAAGUUUAUGAUUGCCUCUCUAAACAAUAUCGUCUUCAAAUUUAUAUUUCCUUAUUAAAAGUGUAAUGUACUUCACCGUUACUUUCAUAUUUGUUGAUAAGCUCCCUCAUAUAAUAAUUUAAGAUUUUAACUAAUUCAACAGUAGUAAGGGGCAGUCAAAUUAUAGCAGUAUAGGCCUAUGCACGAUUUCCUUGCAUGUUUGCUGGGAAACCAAGUUUACAUAACAUCUAUCACAUUCUCAACAGCCAUUGGAACUAUGAAAGCUCCGAAGAUCUAAAACGUGUAUAUAUAUACGAGGCCAAAUCUACUGUGAGAUUGUUUACUUUUGCUGCCAUUUCCAAUACUAAAAAUUAAUGUCGUAGUAAAUUAGGAGACCAUAGUGUUAUUUUCC